AUACAUAGGGGGCGAGCGUUAUCCGGAAUUAUUGGGCGUAAAGCGUGCGUAGGCGGCCGUUUAAGUCUGUCGUGAAAGCCCACAGCUUAACUGUGGAGGGUCGAUGGAAACUGGAUGGCUUGAGUGUAGAAGAGGUAAGUGGAAUUCCAUGUGUAGCGGUAAAAUGCGUAGAUAUAUGGAGGAACACCAGUGGCGAAGGCGGCUUACUGGUCUAGCAUUGACGCUGAGGCACGAAAGCGUAGGUAGCAAACAGGAUUAGAUACCCUGGUAGUCUACGCUGUAAACGAUGAGCACUAAGUGUCGGACGUAAGUUCGGUGCUGUAGUUAACGCAUUAAGUGCUCCGCCUGGGGAGUACGGUCGCAAGACUGAAACUCAAAGGAAUUGACGGGGACCCGCACAAGCGGUGGAGCAUGUGGUUUAAUUCGACGCAACGCGAAAAACCUUACCAGGCCUUGACAUCCCUAUGACCGCUCUAGAGAUAGAGUUUCCUCUUCGGAGGUAUAGGUGACAGGUGGUGCAUGGUUGUCGUCAGCUCGUGUCGUGAGAUGUUGGGUUAAGUCCCGCAACGAGCGCAACCCUUAUCAUUAGUUGCUAACAUUAAGUUGAGCACUCUAAUGAGACUGCCAGCGACAAGUUGGAGGAAGGUGGGGAUGACGUCAAAUCAUCAUGCCCCUUAUGGCCUGGGCUACACACGUGCUACAAUGGCCGGUACAAAGAGCAGCGAAAUUGUGAAAUGGAGCAAAUCUCAAAAAGCCGGUCUCAGUUCGGAUUGUAGUCUGCAACUCGACUACAUGAAGUUGGAAUCGCUAGUAAUCGUGGAUCAGCAUGCCACGGUGAAUACGUUCUCGAGUCUUGUACACACCGCCCGUCACACCAUGAGAGUUUGUAAUACCCGAAGCCGGUGGCUUAACCGCAAGGAGAGAGCCGUCUAAGGUAGGACAGAUGAUUGGGGUGAAGUCGUAACAAGGUAUCCCUACGAGAACGUGGGGAUG
RNAcentral lists this ribosomal RNA (993 nucleotides) under human gut metagenome. RNAcentral's name for it is "bacterial SSU rRNA". It matches the Rfam family "Bacterial small subunit ribosomal RNA", at positions 523 to 1520 of the family's 1533-position model. The record is from RNAcentral.